CUGGCUCAGAACGAACGCUGGCGGCGCGUCUUAAGCAUGCAAGUCGAACGGGAAUGCGGUGCUUGCACCGCACGAGAGUGGCGGACUGGUGAGUAACGCGUGGGUGACGUACCCCCGGACGGGGAUAGCCCUUAGAAAUAAGGGGUAAUACCGGAUACGGUUCCGUGUGUCAGAGGCACGGAAGGAAAGGAGCUUCGGCUCCGCCGGGGGAGCGGCCUGCGUCCCAUCAGCUUGUUGGCGGGGUAACGGCCCACCAAGGCAAUGACGGGUAUCCGGCCUAAGAGGGUGAACGGACACAUUGGGACUGAGAUACGGCCCAGACUCCUACGGGAGGCAGCAGCUAAGAAUAUUCCGCAAUGGGGGAAACCCUGACGGAGCGACGCCGCGUGGAACCGAUGAAGGCCGGAAGGUUGUAAAGUCCUUUAGUCCGUGAGGAAUAACGCCGGAGGGAAUGCCGGCGGAUGACUGUAGCGGAAGAAUAAGCACCGGCUAAUUACGUGCCAGCAGCCGC
This 511-nucleotide ribosomal RNA is filed under the name uncultured bacterium. RNAcentral's name for it is "bacterial SSU rRNA". It matches the Rfam family "Bacterial small subunit ribosomal RNA", at positions 19 to 518 of the family's 1533-position model. The record is from RNAcentral.